UUGUUGGUGGUCGAGUGGCAAGGACACUUGCCUCUCACCCUGGAAUCCUGGGUUCGGUUCCCGGUCGAAGAG
Non-coding RNA from Rhamnusium bicolor, 72 nucleotides. NCBI's taxonomy places the organism in Eukaryota, Metazoa, Arthropoda, Insecta, Coleoptera, Cerambycidae. The record is from the annotation of a GenBank genome assembly.